UUUUAUUUGGAAAUUAGUAUAUUUUCGAGUUAGUAUAUAUAUACAUUAGUCGAGUUUAUGAUGAAUCUAGUCGCGCCCCUAGUUAGAUAUAUAACUUUGAACUAUAGGUUAUACCUAUAGAAAUAGAAAUUUAUAUUCUCAAAUAUUUUUAUAUAAAUUUGGACUUAAAUAAAGUAUUUGCAGCCUAUUUAGUUUAUUUAUAUUGGGCCAUAAAUAAAUAUUUACAUAGUUCUCUACAUUUGGGCUUUAUUAUCUUUUUCUUUGGGCUAUAUUAAUAUAAGCCCAUCAGCAUCUAUUUUCACUAUUUCGAAAAUUUCACAGCAUUUUUAGAGAAAAAAUUAGCUCAGACAGCAACGUGUUUUCAUCUUCAGCCAUAUUUCAUUUUUCCUUUUCAGCCACAUAUUUUAACUUUGUAUUCUUGGGGAUCAAGUAUAAUUUCCUUCACCAAAAUUUAUGCAUUCUUGUCAGCCUCUUAUUUUGCAUUUCGUGCAUCACACGAUUUUCACCCUAUUUUAACCUUCAUUCCAUCACCCCCAAUCUGUAAACCCAGCAGCAACCGACCUACUUGUUCCCUUUCACAGUUUCAUCACAUAACUCAAUCUGCUCUUUUCACUGCAGAAUUCCAUUGGUAAUUUUAAUAAUUUCUGCAAAGUUAUUUCACUUCAGCAUAUCAAUAAUUUUCUUCAUCUUUUUCAUCAUUUUCGCCAAAACCAAUACUAAACAGCAAAAAUUUAUUUUCAAAAUCCAAUCAUGCAUACAUCUAUUUUUUUUCUGCAAAUCCAUAUGUUGCUAAUUACAUAGAAAAAGAAAAAGAAAAAGAAUAGAAGAAGGAACUGAAAGGGGGUUUUGUAUAGGGGGAACUGUUGAACAGCGCCGCCGGCGCUGCGCGCCACGGCGGCUGGCGGAAGGAGUAGGGGCGGCGGCGCGGUGGCCUCGGCCGCUGCUGUGCUGCUCUGGUUGGACGGAGGAAAGAGGAAGCUGGACGGCGAUGACGGCUGCUGCUGUUGUCGGCGAGAAGGAAGAAGGGACGGGGUAGUGGUGUUGGCAGGCGACGAAGGGUCGCCGGAGAAGGAGCAGUCGCGGCCGGUGCAGCGAGAACAAGGGCAGGGGAGGAGGAAGAGAGAUGAGAGAAGAGGGCGAGAAGUGAAGGGUGAGAGGGAGAUAGGAAGAAGGGAGAAGAGAAAGGAGGCAGAGCCGCCUACCUCCGGCGGCGGCGUGCUGUCUAGUGGCAGCGGCAGAAGGCCGAGAAGAGGAGAGGGAGAGGGCCGAGAGGGGAAGGCAGAAGGGAGCCGAGGGAGAGAGAAAAGGGAAAUGGGGGGCUGCGAGUUUUGUGAGCAAUUUGGGUGUGUGUUUAAAUUAGGGGAGUUGGAAGAGUGAGACUUGGGAUUGGGCCUAGGAUGGUUUGUUUUUAAAUGGGCUAAGUUUAUUAAAAAUGUUUGGGCUAAGCUUUUAAUUUAUUUAUGGGCUGCAGAUCUCUUUCUAAAUAGGUUGCAAUUGCAUUAGAUUUUAAAUAUCAUUUGGACUUCAUAUUUUUAAAUUUCAUUAUCAAGUUGGACCUGAUUUUAUUAAAUCCCAACUCAAAUUUUAAAGAAGCAUGCAUUUUAUUAUUUGAUUCAUUUAGACCAACUAUUAUUUCCAAAUGAUUUUAUGAUAAUAAAUUCUUAAGAUUUAAACUACUAUUAUUAUUAUUUUAAAGUUCAAUUAGGCCCUUAUAUUUUAUUAUUUGAAUUUAUCUGACUAGGUGCGGCGCGACUAGGACGUUACUUUUAUUUGAUUUACUCAAGUUAGCAUACAAGUUGAAGUUCAAGUUCAAAGUUCAAGUUUCAGGUGUGGGAUUUAUUUCAGUACAUGCCGUGGUUAAUUUUGUCCAUUUUGAUAUUAUGUGUUUGCCAUAUGUGUUGUAAAUUCAGUUAUAUCGCUAGGGGCCCGCUCAAUGGGUCCAGGACUUCACCGUCCUUGGUAUGCCACAAUGCGAUUUCAUGUUACAGUUAUGGUUGCAACCAGUCGCCAGGGGCCGGCUCAAUCGGUCCAGGACAUUAAAGUCCUUGGUAUGCCACCGUGCGACUUUCAGUUACGAAUGUAUUGAUCAUAUGUGAUUCUCAUUUUAUUAACGUGGACAAUGAUUGCAUGUUCCCACACUGAGUGUACCCUGUAUGCUCAUCCCAUACUUAACAUUUUCAGGUUUUAAAGACCGGAGGCGCGUGGAAGGUCGAAUGGCGAAUCAAAUAUUUUG
This 2233-nucleotide long non-coding RNA is filed under the name Salvia miltiorrhiza (redroot sage). RNAcentral describes it as "long non-coding RNA (SMIL_LNC006024)". The record is from RNAcentral. Lineage: Eukaryota; Viridiplantae; Streptophyta; Magnoliopsida; Lamiales; Lamiaceae.